Molecule: long non-coding RNA, 4188 nt
Filed under: Salmo salar (Atlantic salmon)
Lineage: Eukaryota; Metazoa; Chordata; Actinopteri; Salmoniformes; Salmonidae
Description: lncRNA (ENSSSAG00000005510.2)
Source: RNAcentral
GCUGGGACCCUCCAAGCUAGUGCUGGAGAGCAAGUGCUCCAGACAGAUGUCCAUUCCACUGACCAUGAUGGACUAAGCCUGCCAGCCCUGGUAGACUGCCCCCAGGACAGCCCUCGAAAGGCUGGGACCCUCCAAGCUAGUGCUGGAGAGCAAGUGCUCCAGACAGAUGUCCAUUCCACUGGCCAUGAUGGACUAAGCCUGCCAGCCCUGGUAGACUGCCCCCAGGACAGCCCUCGAAAGGCUGGGACCCUCCAAGCUAGUGCUGGAGAGCAAGUGCUCCAGACAGAUGUCCAUUCCACUGACCAUGAUGGACUAAGCCUGCCAGCCCUGGUAGACUGCCCCCAGGACAGCCCUCGAAAGGCUGGGACCCUCCAAGCUAGUGCUGGAGAGCAGGUGCUCCAGACAGACGUCCAUUCGGCUGGCCAUGGUGGACAUGAUGGGCCAGCCCUGGUAGACUGCCCCCAGGACAGCCCUCGAAAGAACCUUGUGCCGAAGCCCCCGCAAGGCCCCAGGCCCAGCCGAGAGGCCAAUAUAGCAAAGGCAGAAAAUAAAGCCAGAGAGGCUAUCAAGGCUAGAAGGGCUAGGGAGGCUAAGGCAGGGGGGGGGAAACUAAGCCACCAAGUAGUUGGUAUGUUGGCACUGCCUCAAACUCUUCUAUCUCGAACCAGUUACAGUGUCCUGCCAGCUAUCAAGAAGGGCACUAAAGUUACUAAAAUGGAGACAACAGAACCCCUAUGUCCCUUGACACCUGAUGGGGAGAUAAUGAUCUCCUCUUCAUCUGUUGAUGACCUCCUGACCCUAAAGAGUGAUGUCAUGUCCGAGGCUAAGAGCGAUGAUGCCUCCCGUCCAAUUGAACCUGAGAUGUUCUCUCUAACAAACUUCCUGAAGUCUCACCCUAAGAGAAAGCUUAUCAGGAAAUUCCUCAAACAAAUGAACGUGACAAUAGGCGACCUGGACGAGAUCAUCGAGUGGGUGGUGUGUGUCUCCAAUGAGGUGUUCCUCCCAGUGAUGGCUCUGAUCCGGACCUCCAGUCCAGAGUCGUCCACCUCAUCCCGAUGGGGGUCAGGUGAGCUCCAGAUCAUCUCCAGGGAGUUCCACCAGCGGAGUUCUGAGCCGAAGGGAAGGCUCCUGGGUGGGCAGCCGCCCACUCCCCCUUCUGAGACCGACAAGGAGCUUCAGGGCGUAGCAGAUCUGUCUGUGAGUAACAUCCUGAAAAGGGCCCAGGAGGACCUCUUCUUUUCUGGUGAGGAUGACCUGGAGAACACCCAUCCAGGCAUCACUCUGACCGAAGAGAGCCUCUCCAGCAUCUUCUCAGAGUUGUUCAGGGACGCCUGUGAGAGUGCCCAGGAGGCCACCAGACAGAUCCACCACAUGAGGUCUGGAAGAGGCAACAACAGCCGGAAUGGGAGAUGCCCUGGGUUAUCACAGGGAUCGAGCAGGUCCAACAUGCUAGAUUUGGGAGAACUGGGGUCAGUGAGGAGGCCCAAGGGAAGCGACGUCCAUAAAGUCCUUAGCGAGGGGUCCCUCCCUGUCUUUGCCCUGCUUGGGGAGAGGCCAGGGGAAGUUGGGGAGACCAGCAGCCCUGCUGGGGAGAUGGACGCGACCCAGACUGCCAGCACUCCCAGCAUUCCCCAGUCUGGGCAUGGCAGCAGAAGAAGUAGCCAGACCACUGCUCCCAUCACCGGCCACAGAGAGGCAGGAGUCACAGCCAGUAACAUCUUUGAUGUUAUUUUUCAUCUGACGCACUCUGACACUGACCGGAAACACCACCAGGAGUUCAGCAGUGAGGAUGAUGUUUCACUGAAUGACAUCAUGGACAUGAAGUUAACCCCACCAGUGGAGCCCCUGGGGCAGAUCCUGUCCUCAUGGAAGCUGGUCAACAGGAUCUUCAGGGGGAAGGUCCACUACUUUGGGAAGGAGCUCAUCUGCAAGGUGUAUCAGAUGCUUCUGGACACCGGUAUGGGCAGGAGGCCAAUGGCCCGCCAGAGCAGGUCCGAGCCCAUCCUGAAAGACCUGGCUGCCAAACGUAGGCUCUCCGAUGAAUUCUUCACAGACGUGCUGUACAUGUUCAUCCAACGGGCCAUUAAGAAUCUGCUGGAGAACUUCUUGGGUCUGCCGACCACCCCACCGGGUAGAGACAUUAUGUGGAAUGACAACUUCAACUGGAUGUAUAGGGACGGCUGGGGGGACACCCCCACAUCCAGCAAGGACGAGUUGUGGGACAGCGACUCCACCUGGUCAAGUGAGCUUGGAGAGGAGGAGGGGGCAGAGUCCCGUGGGAGGUGGGCCGCUCUGUUGGAGAAGGGCAGCUUCCUGACCCUCCAGUCCCCCAGCUCCCUCUCCGAUGACAACAAGGAGGCACUAGGGGCCGUCUACCAGGUCCUGACCACCAGGGUGGGAGACAUCCUGAACAGUACCUGCAACGACGAUUACAAGGCCAGGCUCAUCAUCCAGAAAGGAUUGGAUUCCGGUGCCAGGGAAAGGUUCCCUGACUCUCCGUGUUCCUCUUCACCCAAGGACGAAGAGGAGGUGGUUGUGAGUGGCAUGACUGUCUCAUACCCUAAACCCUCCACCUCAACCCAGGCAGCAUGGGCAGCUCCUGCCCAGACUCUGGACGUUUUUCUGCCCAGACCCUGCCUGGAUGAAGAAGAGGUAGUCCCCAGCACCUCCAUGAAGGACGACUCUGUGACGACCACCCAUGCAGCACGGGCAGCUCCUUACCAGACCCUGGAAGAAGAGGUGGGGGGAGCUGAGGUCUCCGAGAUGAGUGACAGCUCCCUGAUGCCCACCAAGAACAGGCAGGACCCCCUGCAGAAUAUUCCCUCCCUCCUACCAGGCAAGGAGGACAUCCUCCUUCGGUCCACUCCCUGGACCACCGUCAUGAGCCCCCAGACCCUGAAGUUUAUUCUCCACGGCAUCAUGUGCCAACUGGAGGCCUCAGAGUCCCCCCAGACAAGGAGGGCCAAUGACCCCUUCAGGCUGAUGAAGGAUCUCUUUGUGGAGGUCCAGCAUGCCCUGAAGUAUGCUGACAUCUCUGUCGUCUUUGGCCUGGAGGAGAGCAUCCAAUUCAGUGGGGAGGAUGCGGUGAAGGCCAUCGUGAAGACUGCGGCUAAAAGAUUGUCCCUGCGUUCGGACGCCAACCGGGCUCAACUGUGUGCCGCACGCUCUGGUAGUGAGGGAGCCAUCGGGUGCAUGGCGGACACCAUCACACAAGUCAUAGAUGACUAUUCCGAGGACUGGAGUUCCGACGGCCAUUUUGGAGCCAGGAGGAGCCAUGCUAGUGGGAGAUCAUACUCCUCAACCUCCUCAAGGAGUGACGUCACCCUCACCGAGGAGCUCCUGGCUUGGAAGGAAACCCUAGAAGGGGACCUAGAGGAGAUGGCUGAUGACAUCACUGGUUUGGAAAAGACCAGUGUAAGCUCAGCCAUCUCUGAGAAGUCCCAGGUAAUUAGCUACCUUUCUGAAAGCACCAAGCCCAUCAGCAGCGCCCUCUCCACAGACCUCGAGGACAUCACCUCCACACAGAAGAAAGAGAAGGAAGAGGCUAUGGAGAAAGAAGUGAGGAAGUCAGGGAAGAAGAAGCGAGGAAAUAACAAGGAUCAGAAGAAGAACAAGGUGUCUCCUCUUGGCAAUGAUAGUACUGUUGCUGCAGAUGAGCCUAAGAAAAAACAGGCUCUCCUCCCGCGAAUCACAGCCGCCCUGGCAAAACUAUUUUGCUUCCCCUGCAAAAAAAAAAUCAAAAAGUAACUGUGCAUAAGACGACUUUGGGAAACCCUGCGGCCACCUCCCCAACCCAUUUUCGAAAAAAAACUGUCAAAGCCAACAGAAGAGGGACUCACAACUCACUACCCUACUCACAACUCAUUUUAUUACGCCCCAUUUAAUUCAAUAAACGCAACUUGCAACUAUUUUGAUCUUGUUCUUGCAUGCUAUAGAUUCUUAAGGUCAAUUUGCUGUCUACUGUCAACUACAGUAUCAUUGUUAUGAGUAUGUUCACUGUGCCAGUCAUUAUAGCCAGUAUAGGCUAUAAUAAUGCCUUAACCUAAUUGCAAUUGACAUAAUAAGAGUUACAUUUGAAUAAUUCCCUCAUUUUAUAUAUUUUUUAGAGGGAAUACAUCUCUAAAGCACUAUAGAGUAAGCACACCACUGUAUGCAAGCCCCGCCUCCCCGCAGAAUAAAGAAUAGACA